AUGAAAUACCAAAUAAUAAGGCGAGGGGAAAGGAGGGAGCUGUCGCUGGCCUUUCGCGAGGCAUGUGCACGCUUUCUUUGGAACCUUCGUCGUAUGGGCGCGGGGCGACCCGCGUCUUCAUAUACCUCUUCGUGUAGAAAGUCUUUGAAUGUUUUUUAAAAUCAUCGAGUCGCGACUUCUAGGAGACGCGAUUCUUUGAGACAAAAGUUAUUA
RNAcentral lists this unclassified non-coding RNA (213 nucleotides) under uncultured Suillus. RNAcentral describes it as "sequence contains ITS1". The record is from RNAcentral. Lineage: Eukaryota; Fungi; Basidiomycota; Agaricomycetes; Boletales; Suillaceae.